AAAAGUCUGUUAUGCUAAUGUU
RNAcentral lists this microRNA (22 nucleotides) under Drosophila simulans. RNAcentral describes it as "dsi-miR-2498b-5p". The record is from miRBase by way of RNAcentral. Lineage: Eukaryota; Metazoa; Arthropoda; Insecta; Diptera; Drosophilidae.